GAUGAACGCUGGCGGCGUGCCUAACACAUGCAAGUCGAACGGCAGGACAGUAAGAGCGUUCCCCUACUGGUGACGGGGGGCGGACGAGUGAGGAGUACAUCGCAAUCUUCUUGGACGUGGGUGAUAACGUGGGGCCACUUCCGCUAAUGACUAAUACGUCCAACGGGUGAGGUCAGGAGAUCUUGGGGCCUUGGGUGGUCCCAUGAGCUGAUGUCGGAUUGGCUAGUUGAGGGGGUAACGGCCCACCAAGGCGACGCUCGGUUGCGGGUCUGAGAGGAUGAUCGGCCACACUGGAAGUGAGACACGGUCCAGACGCCUACGGGAGGCAGCAGUGGGGAAUAUGGGACAAUGGGCGGAAGCCUGAUCCAGCCAGACCGCGUGGGUGAAGAAGGCCUUCGGUGUGUAAAGCCCUUUUGUUGGGAAAGAACAGCUGCCGGUUAAUACGCCGCGGUAGUGACGGUACCUAAAGAAUAAGCACCGGCUAACUACGUG
This 492-nucleotide ribosomal RNA is filed under the name uncultured bacterium. RNAcentral describes it as "partial 16S ribosomal RNA". It matches the Rfam family "Bacterial small subunit ribosomal RNA", at positions 28 to 507 of the family's 1533-position model. The record is from RNAcentral.